UAAUCUGGUUUAGAGUAAGGUUUAUACU
Molecule: non-coding RNA, 28 nt
Filed under: Bombyx mori (domestic silkworm)
Lineage: Eukaryota; Metazoa; Arthropoda; Insecta; Lepidoptera; Bombycidae
Source: RNAcentral